This 204-nucleotide unclassified non-coding RNA is filed under the name uncultured Gnomoniaceae. RNAcentral's name for it is "sequence contains ITS1". The record is from RNAcentral. Lineage: Eukaryota; Fungi; Ascomycota; Sordariomycetes; Diaporthales; Gnomoniaceae.
CUGGAACAAACGCCCUCACGGGUGCUACCCAGAAACCCUUUGUGAAUUAUUCUCUAUAACUGUUGCCUCGGCAUAGACUGGUCUUGUAACGAGACCCCUACUACUUUUUCUUUGCAAAAAGGACUAGGAGCAGGUCGGCCGGUGGCCUUUAUAAACUCUUGUUUUUACAAUGUAUCUUCUGAGUAAACAACUAUAAAUGAAUCA